GACGAACGCUGGCGGCGUGCUUAACACAUGCAAGUCGAACGGAAAGGCCCUGCUUUUGUGGUGUGCUCGAGUGGCGAACGGGUGAGUAACACGUGAGUAACCUGCCCUUGACUUUGGGGUAACUUCAGGAAACUGGGGCUAAUACCGGAUAGGAGCUCCUGCUGCAUGGUGGGGGGUGGAAAUUUUCGGCGGUUGGGGAUGGACUCGCGGCUUAUCAGCUUGUUGGUGGGGUAGUGGCUUACCAAGGCUUUGACGGGUAGCCGGCCUGAGAGGGUGACCGGCCACAUGGGGACUGAGAGAGGGCGCAGACGGCUACGGGAGGCAGCAGGGGGGAAUAUUGCACAAUGGGCGGAAGCCGGAGGCAGCAACGCCGCGUGCGGGAUGACGGCCUUCGGGGUGUAAACCGCUUUAGCCUGUGACGAAGCGGGAGUGACGGUAAUGGGUAAAGAAGCACCGGCUAACUACGUG
This 468-nucleotide ribosomal RNA is filed under the name uncultured bacterium. RNAcentral's name for it is "partial 16S ribosomal RNA". It matches the Rfam family "Bacterial small subunit ribosomal RNA", at positions 28 to 507 of the family's 1533-position model. The record is from RNAcentral.